UGGGGAAUAUUGCACAAUGGGGGAAACCCUGAUGCAGCGACGCCGCGUGGAGGAAGAAGGUCUUCGGAUUGUAAACUCCUGUUGUUGGGGAAGAUAAUGACGGUACCCAACAAGGAAGUGACGGCUAACUACGUGCCAGCAGCCGCGGUAAAACGUAGGUCACAAGCGUUGUCCGGAAUUACUGGGUGUAAAGGGAGCGCAGGCGGGAAUGCAAGUUGGAAGUGAAAUCCAUGGGCUCAACCCAUGAACUGCUUUCAAAACUGCAUUUCUUGAGUAGUGCAGAGGUAGGCGGAAUUCCCGGUGUAGCGGUGGAAUGCGUAGAUAUGACACAGAAGGCCGAUUGCGAAGGCAGCUGGCAAAGGCACGAUUGACGCUGAGGCACGAAAGUGCGGGGAUCGAACAGGAUUAGAUACCCUGGUAGU
This 422-nucleotide ribosomal RNA is filed under the name uncultured Faecalibacterium sp. RNAcentral's name for it is "bacterial SSU rRNA". It matches the Rfam family "Bacterial small subunit ribosomal RNA", at positions 355 to 794 of the family's 1533-position model. Lineage: Bacteria; Bacillati; Bacillota; Clostridia; Eubacteriales; Oscillospiraceae. The record is from RNAcentral.